Molecule: ribosomal RNA, 93 nt
Filed under: Inonotus rickii
Lineage: Eukaryota; Fungi; Basidiomycota; Agaricomycetes; Hymenochaetales; Hymenochaetaceae
Description: partial 28S ribosomal RNA
Rfam family: Eukaryotic large subunit ribosomal RNA (bases 37-93)
Source: RNAcentral
CAAGGAUCCCUUAGUGGCCCUUACAUCUGACACCUUUGACCUCAAAUCAGGUAGGACUACCCGCUGAACUUAAGCAUAUCAAUUAGCGGAGGA